RNAcentral lists this ribosomal RNA (253 nucleotides) under uncultured bacterium. Its description in RNAcentral is "partial 16S ribosomal RNA". It matches the Rfam family "Bacterial small subunit ribosomal RNA", at positions 524 to 776 of the family's 1533-position model. The record is from RNAcentral.
UACGUAGGGUGCAAGCGUUGUCCGGAAUUAUUGGGCGUAAAGAGCUCGUAGGCGGUCUGUCGCGUCUGCUGUGAAAACUCGGGGCUUAACCCCGGGCCUGCAGUGGGUACGGGCAGACUAGAGUGCGGUAGGGGAGACUGGAAUUCCUGGUGUAGCGGUGAAAUGCGCAGAUAUCAGGAGGAACGCCGGUGGCGAAAGCGGCGUGCUGGCCCUCUUCUGACGCUGAGGCGCGAAAGCCAGGGGAGCGAACGGG